Molecule: RNA transcript, 1828 nt
Organism: Phragmites australis (common reed)
Lineage: Eukaryota; Viridiplantae; Streptophyta; Magnoliopsida; Poales; Poaceae
Gene name: probable E3 ubiquitin-protein ligase XBOS32
Exons: 5
Source: RefSeq, a predicted model, not a curated record
UCUGCUUCAAAAGAAAAGCUUUGUAUCAAGGCAUUAACUGCCGAUGCCGGAGAAUCAAGAAAAGAUCAUAGAUUCAUAUAAUACAUAAAAUCUCUCCUACUUAAAACAUCUCUAAUCCAUCUAUCAUCAGCCUUUUCCUGCCCCGUCCUUUCCGCUCACUGGCUACGUCGUCUGCCGGAUCCUUCCGCCCUCGCCCAUCGUCCGGCAAAUCCUUCCCGCUUGCGUCCCGCGACCUCCACGCCUGCCCCGCUCGUGACCUCCGUGCUCCCACUGACCCCACCCGCAACCUCCCCUUCCCCGUGGCCUCCCUCUUUCCAACCCCCAACAAAUCCGUCGCUCGAGUCUCCACCCUCUCUCUCUCUGGCCGUCGACGCCACCGGAAGCCCCGACAUGGCCGUCUCACGGGCGCGUCAUUAUUUCUCUCCUCCUUCCUUGUCCCUGCCCAAACGUAAGGUUGCGUUCUUACAAAUCGCCCUAGCUUUGCCCCAGGAUUCGCCACCCAGCGCCCUCGCUGGAAUCGUGGGCGCUAAGGUCUCGAGGCGGGCAUCGCUUGUCUUGUGAAUCCCCCUCCGGUUUCUUGUUUUCUUGCAAGGAUUCGACUGAUUUAGAGGGAAUUGUCGGUCUCGAUACCGUUCUGCUCGCUCGGGACCGACGGUUCGGGGCAGUUCCGAAGGGAAAAUUAGGUCUUUCUUGCCAUUUGCUUGAGAUCAUCCACGUGCCCCAAUUGGGCCUUUGAACCUGUGCUCCUAAUCAUCCUGGAAUGCGCUUUGCGGCUGCCUUGUAAAAGAUUGAGAAAUUUAGAGGGCAUUUGAUUCGAGGUCUUCCCGUGUGCGCUCAAGAAAAGGUGUUGUGCCGUGAAGGCCACAUCUUGGGCAUCCAUGGGGUUCCUCAGUCUUGUGGGCAACUCCUUUGGAUGCUCUGCUUCCAGUGGACAGCCCAUGUUAGCUGAUCGCGACGGCGACCUUCUGGAGGCGUGUGCGCUCCUCGAGUACAACCUUCGCCUUGCCCGGUACUCCACAUUCGGUGGCCACAACUCACUGCUGCAUUAUGCUGCUACGCAGGGACAUCAUGGGAUUGUUUCUCUAUCGCUUGAAUCCGGCGUCAAGAUCAACCUUAGGAAUUACUGGGGCAGACUGUUUUGAUGCAAGCAUGCCAAUAUGGUCACUGGGAGGUUGUUCAAACACUGAUGCUUUUCAAUGUAAAUGUUCGCAGGACAGAUUAUCUCAAUGGUGGAACUGCUCUCCAUUUUGCUGCACUGCAUGGUCAUGCUCGAUGCCUUCGUCUUGUGCUCGCAGAUUAUGUGCCAAGCAUACCGAACUUCUGCACCUUGGCAAAUUAUAGAUCAUCUGAAGAAGAUUCGGUUGCUAAUUUUGAUCAUGAGUAUGUUGGGUAAUUUGUAUGAGUAUGUUGGGUAAUUUGUAUGUUUUCUCUUUAUUUUACUUUAGCACACGAAUCAUGCAAUAGUAUCUCAGUGUCAGUGCUUUGGUCAAGAUGGUAAAUAAGAAGGUGGAUGGAGGCUUAACUCCACUGCAUAUGUCAGCGUUAAAUGGGCAUGUAGAGUGCGUGCAGUUGUUACUGGACUUAGGAGCAUCUAUUUCUGAUGCCACUAUUGAGGAUGGAACGACUAUUGACUUAAUAGGUAUUUUGCUAUCUUUCAUUUUUUUAGUUGCUUCUUUUCAACUUGCUAAUCAUUGUCAUGUAUAUGCUUGGCUGUUUAUCAGUUUUACUUUUUUGGUACAUUCUUGUUGUGAGUGCUUAGCGUGUUUAGUGAGAACAUUGUAAGUAGUCAGCAAUUUAACAACAACGUAUAUGAUUCUUGGUCUUGAAA